Molecule: transfer-messenger RNA, 151 nt
Filed under: Alphaproteobacteria bacterium HGW-Alphaproteobacteria-15
Lineage: Bacteria; Pseudomonadati; Pseudomonadota; Alphaproteobacteria
Description: partial transfer-messenger RNA
Rfam family: Alphaproteobacteria transfer-messenger RNA
About the family: Bacterial tmRNA, also known as 10Sa RNA or SsrA, is named for its dual tRNA and mRNA-like properties. Its role is to liberate the mRNA from a stalled ribosome.
Source: RNAcentral
CUACUUCACAUUCAGGAUUGGCGCGCUAUAUCGGCGGUGUCGGGCAACCGAAUAUGGCGAUAAAUUGCUGCGUGCAAUAGAUGCAACGGACCCGGGGGCAGUACCCGGCGGCUCCACCAGAAACGGCGACUAUUCGCCAGUUCUGAUGGGG